RNAcentral lists this long non-coding RNA (5109 nucleotides) under Canis lupus familiaris (dog). RNAcentral's name for it is "lncRNA (ENSCAFG00040012399.1)". Lineage: Eukaryota; Metazoa; Chordata; Mammalia; Carnivora; Canidae. The record is from RNAcentral.
AUGUGUGGCUCACUUCCUACAGGAAUAUCCCUGACUCAUCUUGCUCCUGUACCUCACCUACCAGCACACAGGAGCCCACCCUUUCUGCUGCUGGUAUCGAGGACAUCCAGGAAUGAAGAAAUCUUGAUGUUGUGCUCUCCUUUUGAUCUCCAAGAUGUGUCCCUUUGUCCCUUUGUCAGCAUGCUGCUUCGUACAACAGCUGCUGUUUUCAGCCAUCCCUACUGAGAGAGAACAACACUGUUUCCUGUUGAUAUAGCUCCUUUGCUCUAAAUCAAAGGUAACAUGUUAAGGCUGUGGAAUCCUUUUUAAUGCCGUCUCUGGGGACUGUUGGGUUUUUUUUGAUCAUACAUAUACUUACUAGGAUUAAAUCCAGCAUGAGUCUUCCGGGUGCAUUCUGGGAGGGGUUACUGGGCACAAAAGGCAGAAAAGAGGAAUAACAUGAUGGACUCUCUUCUGCUUCUGUGAGGAUUCCAAUCACUACUUCCCAGGUCAUCCAACCCAGGGGCCACUAAACAGCCAGCAGCUGAGAAGAAUUAGGUGCCUUUCUUUACAUUGAAAUGACAUGGAAAAUUCCAGAAAGAGUGCCAUCUCCCUUCCUAGCUUUUGCUCUUCUGCUUGAUAAAGUCUCUAUCUCUCUGCACCUGAACACUCAGCUCUGUCCUACGUCCCUCUCUGCAGCUCUGUACCACAUAGACUUCAGAGGGGGUGUGACUAGCACUACCCAUCUGAGCGUCUGGCUGGGGCUCAAGUGACUGACCUGUAAUAACACUCUUCAUAUUCCCACAUGGAAUGCUGAUUUGCGGUUAUAGUACAAAGCUGACAAUUUUCGAGGGCUACAUGCAGCCAUUGUGCUAAGUGCUCUGCCUAUGCCAUCUCAUUCAGUCUCCACACGAACACCCAGGAGUUGGCACUAUGUCCUCCCAUUUUAUAAAUGAGUGAACCGAGACCUGGCCAGAACACCUUGAUCAAGGCCACAAGGCUGGGAAGGGCAGAGUGGGGACAUGAAGCCAGAUCUGUACAACUUCAGAAUCUUUGAUCCCAAAUUCUAUGCUGCUAUCCAACUAGAACAGAUGCAAAGAAUCUAAGAGAAUUUCUAGAAUCUUAACACUCAAGCGUGGCCCACAGACCACGUCUGGGAUCACCUAGGAGCUGAUAUCGGAAAUGCAGAAUCUCAAAAAACGAACUAGGGGUGGUGGAAGGGGAGGAGGGCGGGGGGUGGGGGUGAGUGGGUGACGGGCACUGAGGGGGGCACUUGACGGGAUGAGCACUGGGUGUUAUUCUGUAUGUUGGUAAAUUGAACACCAAUAAAAAAUUAAUUUAUUAAAAAAAAAUCCAAGCAUGCAUUUCAGCAAAAUCAAUGUGAUUCCUAGGCAUAUUAAAGUUUGAGAAUUUGAGAAUUUCUGAUCUAAAAAUGCCUUCUUGGGGUACGUGGCUCAGUCGGUUUAGUGUCUGACAUAGGUUCAGGUCAUGAUUUCAGGGUCCUCAGAUCAAGCCCUAAGUUGGGUUCAGUGGAGAGUCUGCUUGGGAGUCUCUCCCUCUCCCUCUGCCCCUGUGCCCUGCUCAUGCUUGCUCUCUCUCUCUCUCAAAUAAAUAAAUAAACUCUUUAAAAAUUAAAACAAAACACAAAUGAAAAUGUCUCCUCCAUUUUUAAAAAAGAUUUUAUUUAUUUACUUGAGAGAGAGUGAAAUUAAGAGAAAGAUUACAGAGGGAGAGAGAGAAGCAGACUCCCCACUGAGCAGGGAGCCCAGUGUGGAGCUCAAUCUCAGGACCCUGAGAUCAUGACCUGAGCCAAAGGCAGAUGCUUCACCACCUGAGCCAUCCAGGUGCCCCAUGCCUUCUCCUUUUAUGGAAGAAUAAACAUGUCAAAUGAUGAGCCUUGGUUCUGUCAAUUGGUGCAGGUGCAGGACUGAAAUCCUGACUGCCAGAGAUGGGGCAGAGAAUACAUUCCAUGGAGAGAAGUGAGACAAGACAGGUGGUAGUGUCUUAAACUGGGUUUCUGAGAAACAGCCCCUGUUUCUCAAAUUUUAGUACAGGGAGGCUAUUCGGUGUGAACCAAAAAACAGUAUCUCUAAAGGAGGUGGGGUGAAGUGGGAUUGAGCAGAGGGAGAAUUUGAACCUUAGUAGAGUUGCAGCAGAGGACUUGGCGGACAACAUGGAGAGCUGGGAUGGCCCUUCAGUGUUGUCUGAGAUUGAGGCAAGGGGCCAGAUCUUUGUAGGUUCCACCACCGACCAGUUAUCAGGUGAUAACUGCCCCUGGUUGAGGACGACUCCCCAGGAGAGACAGCUGUGAGCCCCCAGCAGCCAACAGGGAGACAAUACCUAGAUCCUGCGGGGAGAGGGUCCAGGCACUGCGCUGCAGUGGAGAAGCUGCAUAAAGGUUUCCAAGCUGUAAGCCAAGAAGGACGGGCAGUCAUUCAGAAUGACAUCACCAGACUUGCAUUUGCUAACAAUGCCUUUGGCUCCUGGGUGGCAAUGGAUCAGAAGGAAUGAGAGUCAAAGGAAGGAAAUCCAUGAGAGAAGAGGGGUUAGCUCAGACAAAAAGGGCAAAGAGUCCAGAGAAGUGAGCAAAUUCCAGACACAAUUUAGGCCUAGAAGGUGCAAGCUGCUGCGAUUAAUUUGCUGUUGAAAUGCAGAGAAGGAAGUGUUCAGAUGGACCAUGACCUUCUGGAAGAGUUAACAGGGAGGAUAAAGGUGGGGAUCUGGAUACGGCAUCCCUGAAGGAGAACAUUUGCAAGAAAAGAUUAAAGUCUUCUUUGACACUUUAAAAGCCCUCAAAUCUGCCACAAGAUUUAAGGUCUUCUUCGAUUUAUCUGUUGUUUAGAAUCAUCGUCUCCAGAAACUGCAGUUGCUCCAAAAUGCACAGCAAAUAUUUCGUGACUGUUCUCCAAACAAGUCUUCAAGAAAAUGUAAACGUUUCUGGAUUUUUUUGUUUUGCCCCUUGUAUUUUUUAAAAAGAUUUCUUUAUUUUAGAGAGCAUGUGCCCGUGCACCUGAGGAGGGCAAGGGGCAGGGGGAGAGGGAGAAAAAUCUUCACACAGACUCCCCACUGAGAGCAGAGCCCAACCCAACAUGGGGCUCAAUCCCGGGACCCUCAGAUCCUGUCCUGAGCUGAAAUCAAGAGUCGGAUGCUCAAUGAACUGAGCCACCCAGGGCCCCCUUGGCCGUUAUAUUUUAUUUAACCAUAGAAUGCAAAAGCUUUUGGUGAACUAGUUCUCAAAUAUCAUUUUGUUGAGCAUAAAAAUCAUUCAAAAGAAUAAUCAUAAGAAAAUCAAUUUGAAAUCAGCAUGUUUCACACUUACAUGAAUAAAGGGCCCUAAGAAAAUAGUGCGUGUGAGUUUGUAUGUCCCCUUCACUACUGCCUCUCCAUUUUUGCAAUUACCCUGGUUGACAGAGCCAGGAACUGUUAUUAAUCAAUCAAUAAAUUGAUGCCAUUAUGCAUCCAGACUGGUGUAUUUCAAAUACAGUUCAGUGCCUGUGUUAUGCGGUGUUGAGGAGACAGAGAUGAGUGGAACCUAGGAGCUCGCAGCAUUGGAGACAAUAAAAGUAAAUAUUUUUCUGUUAUCAAUUACAAUUAAAUUUAAUGAGUACCAAAAUAAAUUAAUUAUCCCUAAUACUAAGUGAACUUUUUUCAGAUUUUAAUAUCUGUGAGAUCAAUAUACAUUUUCAAAAAUAAUGUUAGAGGAGAGGUAAAAUGCUGAGUUGUUAUUGCCUGAAUAUUGGAAUUUGGACAAGUAUUAAAGGACUCUAUUAAUCUAAUUGCCACUUCCAUUGAGAUAUUUGCUUUGAAACUAAUAAAAAAAAGAGAAAGUGCUACACAUAGUUGAAUUUUAACUUUUAUUUAUAUCCUCAAUUGCCUUUUUAAAAAAAAGAUUGUGUUUAUUUAUUUAUAAGAGACACACAGAGAGAGGCAGAGACACAGGCAGAGGGAGAAGCAGGCUCCUUGCAGGGAGCCUGAUGCGGGGACUUGAUCCCAGGCCUCCAGGAUCAUGUCCUGGGCCAAAGGCAGACGCUCAACCGCUGAGCCACCCAGGCAUCCCCUUAAUUGCCUUUUAAAUAAGCUUUUUAUUUUAGAAUAGUUUUACAUUUAAAGAAAAGUUGGAAUAUAAUACAGAGGUCCUAUAUGCCAGUUUCCCCUUUUAUGAGCAUCUUACAUUGGUUUAAUACAUUUGUCACAAUUAAUGAACCAAUAUUGAUAUUUUAUGACUAACUAAAGUCCAUAUCAGGUUUCCAUCAUUUUCCCCUAAUGUCCUUUUUCUUUUCCAGAAACUCAUCCAGGAUACCACAUUAUAUUUAUUUGUUCUGUCUCCUUAGACUCUUCCUGGCUGUGGCAAUUUCUCAGAAUUUUCUUGCUUUUGAUGACCUUUACAAUAUCAAGGAGAAUUUGCCAGCUAUUUUGUAGUGACCCCCUAUUGAAUUUUUUCUGAUGUUUGUCUUAUGAAAAGAUGAGGGUUAUGAGUUUUGAGGCAGAAGACCACAGAGGUAAAGCACCCUUCUAAUCACAUCAUACAUGCUAUUGUCAACCUUAAAAAUAAAACUGCCAGUUAUUUUACCAGCAAAAAUGGGUUUAUUUGGGAAUAGCAGAGAAUUGCAAUCCAGGACAAGCAAGCUACAGUGAAACCAUAAAAAAACUCCUAACAAAAAAAAAAAAAAAAAAAAAAAAAAACCUCCUAACAAACAAAGGGGAAGUUGGGAGGGGCUGUUUUGAACAAAAGUCUAUUGAAGAAAAGCAAGAGUUGAGGGUGAUGACAGUUUUCUCAUUAGCUGAGUUGCAGGAGUAGUCAGUCAGUUUCCUACAGGAGAUGCAGUGUACAUCCUUCCCUGUUGGGCCUAUAAUUUAUGAUUCUUUCCUGUUAAGAUUCUUCUGUUAGGGGUCUGUAAUUGACACUUCUUCCUGUAAUUGACAUUGGGUGGUACAUACCAACCUACCCUUCUAGUAUCCUGAGCCCACCUUAGUGAGGUUUCCCUUUUAUAAUUUUCACACAAUCAAAAUGACUUUCCGUGAUGAGGUUGACCUUGAUCACCUGAUUGAGGUAGUGUUUGUCCGGUGUCUCCACCAUAAAGUUACUCUCUUCUCUCCCUUUUCAUAUUGCACUUUUUGGAAGGAAGUCAC